RNAcentral lists this ribosomal RNA (506 nucleotides) under uncultured bacterium. RNAcentral describes it as "partial 16S ribosomal RNA". It matches the Rfam family "Bacterial small subunit ribosomal RNA", at positions 28 to 523 of the family's 1533-position model. The record is from RNAcentral.
GAUGAACGCUAGCUACAGGCUUAACACAUGCAAGUCGAGGGGUAACGAGAGGAAAGCUUGCUUUCCUUGUCGACGACCGGCGCACGGGUGAGUAACGCGUAUCCAACCUGCCCCCAACUAGGGAAUAACCUUGCGAAAGUAAGACUAAUACCCUAUAAUUUCCUCAGAUGUCAUCUGACGAGGAAUAAAGAUUUAUCGGUUGUGGAUGGGGAUGCGUCUGAUUAGCUUGUUGGCGGGGUAACGGCCCACCAAGGCAACGAUCAGUAGGGGUUCUGAGAGGAACGUCCCCCACAUUGGAACUGACACACGGUCCAAACUCCUAUGGGAGGCAGCAGUGAGGAAUAUUGGUCAAUGGGCGGAAGCCUGAACCAGCCAAGUAGCGUGCAGGAUGACGGCCCUAUGGGUUGUAAACUGCUUUUAUACAGGAAUAAAGUUAGCCACGUGUGGUUAUUUGUAGGUACUGUAUGAAUAAGGACUGGCUAAUUCCGUGCCAGCAGCCGCAGUAA